This is a non-coding RNA of Amniculicola lignicola CBS 123094, 81 nucleotides long. The record is from the annotation of a GenBank genome assembly. NCBI's taxonomy places the organism in Eukaryota, Fungi, Ascomycota, Dothideomycetes, Pleosporales, Amniculicolaceae.
GGCACUUUGGCGGAGUGGUUAACGCGCGGGCCUGCUAAGCUCGUUCCUUCGGGAGCGUGUGUUCGAAUCACACAGGUGUCG